GAAAUGCGAUACGUGAUGUGAAUUGCAGAAUCUCGUGAAUCAUCGAAUCUUUGAACGCACAUUGCACUCUAGCUUGCUAGAGUAUGCCUGUUUGAGAAUCUAAUGUAUCUCUUCCAGUUUGAUGGGUCUCGGCCCGUUGAGUGGAGAUUUGGGGCAUCUGUCUGAUCAAGACAGUGCGCUGAAUUAGAUUAUCCAGCAGUAGCGCUGUGUGAUGACGGUCUACAAAAGUCUGCUGAAAAGUAUAUGCAUGGAACUCUGGUUUCUCAUAGUACCUAAUAAGCAACGGUAGUGCCCAGCACAACGAUUACUGCUGGUUUCCAACCAGAGUUUUCUGCAAAGAAAACUGAACCAUGGUCUCAAAUCAGGUAGGACUACCCGCUGAACUUAA
RNAcentral lists this unclassified non-coding RNA (388 nucleotides) under uncultured fungus. RNAcentral's name for it is "sequence contains ITS1". The stretch from base 1 to 101 matches the Rfam family "5.8S ribosomal RNA", at positions 50 to 154 of the family's 154-position model. Lineage: Eukaryota; Fungi. The record is from RNAcentral.